Molecule: unclassified non-coding RNA, 380 nt
Filed under: fungal sp.
Lineage: Eukaryota; Fungi
Description: partial internal transcribed spacer region
Rfam family: Eukaryotic small subunit ribosomal RNA (bases 1-46)
Source: RNAcentral
AAGUCGUAACAAGGUUUCCGUAGGUGAACCUGCGGAAGGAUCAUUAUCGUUUAGCUUAGUAUGCAAAUACUAAAAGCGCAUGCACUCAUGUGUUGCGUAAAAAUGCACAACGGCACAUGCCUCGUCAUGUGUCGUUCAAACAAACCCAUGCUCGCUCGAGCCUGGUCGGGUACCUAUGUACGCAAGUACGUAAGCGGCAGACGCGCGUCUGCCGUGUGGUGUAAAGAUUAUUCGAGGCCAAUGUCGAAUAACGCCCGCUUAGCCAAACUUUUUAUACCAAAUUAAUCACACUUAUUAUGUUGUAUGUGUAACGCACUAUCUUGUAUCUACGUAUGAGAUAAUAACACAAAUACAACCCUAUGCGGUGGAUCAUUUGGCUC